This 468-nucleotide ribosomal RNA is filed under the name uncultured bacterium. RNAcentral describes it as "bacterial SSU rRNA". It matches the Rfam family "Bacterial small subunit ribosomal RNA", at positions 32 to 507 of the family's 1533-position model. The record is from RNAcentral.
UCAACGCUGGCGGCGUGCCUAACACAUGCAAAGUCGAACGAGAAAGGGAGACGUUCCGGUCUCUGAGUACGAAUGACGGCACGGGUANAGUAACACGUUGACUAACCUACCCUUGAGGUAGGGGAAAUUAACGUUACGGGAAACCGAGGACUAAACUACCGCAAUAACUACCCGACGGGUACAAAGGAGCAAUUCGCUUGAGGAGGGGUCGCGGCCGAUUAGUUAGUUGGCGGGGUAAUGGCCCCACCAAGACGGUGAUCGGUAUCCGGCCUGAGAGGGCGCACGGACACACUGGAACUGAAACACGGUCCAGACUCCUACGGGAGGCAGCAGUGGGGAAUUUUGCGCAAUGGGGGAAACCCUGACGCAGCAACGCCGCGUGGAGGAUGAAGUCUCUUGGGACGUAAACUCCUUUCGAUCGGGACGAUUAUGACGGUACCGGAAGAAGAAGCCCCGGCUAACUUCGUG